This 3964-nucleotide long non-coding RNA is filed under the name Homo sapiens (human). Its description in RNAcentral is "HSALNT0179621". Lineage: Eukaryota; Metazoa; Chordata; Mammalia; Primates; Hominidae. The record is from RNAcentral.
GAAACUGUGGGUAAGAGGAAAGUACUGUAUUAUGAUAAAUAUAAUAUAUAUACAUCUAUGUUUUAUAACAUACUGAAUAUAGUAUAUAGAAUCAUGCUUUUUGCACAUCCACUUUUAUAGUUAAAUAGUUACACAUUUGCCUGACAUUAGAGUGACUUAUUUGACAUAUACAAAUACAGUCCAAUGUGUCUCAAAUCAUUUAGAAUAGAUUGAUUACUAGGAACAAAUAUGAAUAUGCUUCCACAUCUGUGUUACUGAGUCCUAAAUCGGGAAACAAUAAACGUUUUCCUAAUAUCUGACUCUAUAAAGAAAAGUCUUGUUAAGUUAUAUAUAUUAUUACGUCACCUUACAUAUCUACUAGUAAAUGACCUUUGCAGACAAAAAUACAAGGCAAAUGAGGAAAACCUUGGAAAUUUGAAUCGAUGACACUGUCAAGUCAGGUAAAUAUUUGAGAUGUUUAUUCAACCAUAAACUCAUCGGCUACGUAAGUAGAUGCUGAGUAUGACUGCUCAGUAAAAUACAGCUUCUUACUGAACACAUUUUUAACUUUCCUAUCCAUGAAUAUGCAGUAAAAAAAUUGACUCUCAAGAUACUCCCCUUAUGCUAUAUUUUCCAUUGGCCAAAUUCAGUGUGUUUCAAAAAUAGGCAUGUUUGGCAUGCACUCUACUGUGAGCAGAUUGGUGGACUGUAAAAUAGAGCAAGUUUCAUGGACUGCUGUAUUUUCAGUCUUGGUAAAACAGAGACAGUUUUUCAAAUACAUGAAUAAUAUACAUAACUAUCGUUUUUGUCCUUCUUGAGUAUAUGACCUAAAUGUCAUGUAGUUAGUUGAUUAAAAUAUCCCUGUCUGGACUAUGCAUCAAAAUUUGUUAAAGAAGUAAUGAAAAUAGAGAAAAAUAGUAGUCAGUUUUUGACAUUCAAAAUCAAAUUUGCAAUAACAUUGUAGUCAAGCUGUUGAUUUGAGAAAGUGCAUAUCAGUAAUCUAUCCUAGUCUUCAAAUUAUAGCUUUUUUUAAUGCUUAUUUAAAGGUAUCUAUUUUUCUAUUAAAGCUUAGCCAGAAAAUUAGCCAGAGCCAAGGAAAAGAAAAUUUGAGUCAGGGGGAAAGAGAAUUUGAAGCACAAGAAACUCUCCCUUUCUGACUCCGGAGAAUUGUGAGAAUGAAGAGAGAGGUAUUGGCAGUGCUUCUUAUUCCACUGAGCACAGAACUACCUUGUCCCAAUCCAGGAAAUAUCCACAUAAAAAGAUUGUGAUAAGCUGACUGAGUGGGUCUCUGGAUGAUGUUUGAGGACUUCUGUGAUGGAAUGAGGAAAAGGGGAGGCUGACAUCAACUCAAAUAUUUCAAAGAAAUCACAUCUGAGGUGGAACCCACAGCCAAUGCAAAAUAAAAUAGGAAAUUACAAUUGGAAUGGAAAAAAAUUAAAAUGUGAAGGCAAGUAUCUAGGUGGUAAGACUACAAGCUCACAUAUGUAGUCCAGCAUUACUGGUUAGCAUCAAGUUUAUGAUAGCAGAACUUAUAAACAAUCAAUAUCCCAAAGCCAAUAGACCUGAAUUAAGCCUUCAUCAGCAACUCUCCCUUCUGUCUUCCAGUUUGAUUAAAGCUCUGAGACUGUGUCUGAGCUUUAAAGUUAGAGAUCAUGUGACUUACAUUUAAAAUGCACUGCUUUAAAUAUAGUCCAUGUCUUACUCCAUUUGGGCUGCUAAACAAAAUACCAUAAACUGGGUGGCUUAUAAUAACAGAAAUUUAUGUAUCACAGUUCUGGAGGCUGACAAGUCCAAGACUUAGGAAUUGGCAGAUUUUGUGUCCCAUGAGGGUCUGUUUCCAUAGUGGAAGCCUUCUCACUGUGUCCUCACAUGGAGGAAAGGAUAAGGUAACUCCCUAGGGCCUCUUACAUGAGGGCACUGAUUCCAUCCAUGAGGACUUCACCCUUAUGACUGAAUCACCUCCCAAAAGGCCCAACAUCCUGAUACUUUCACCUUUGUAAUAAGGUUUCAACAUAUAAAUGUGUGCAUGUGGGGGCAAGACAGGGGGAACAAAUCUUCAAAACAUAGCAGCAAUGUGGCUUAACUUCCUAAACCAACAAUAAUUUUCAGAACUCAAUUGCACUGAGUAACUAUAGAAUUAUUACAACAUCUUCCCUUCAAAAGAAUCAUUCAAAGACUAUAUAGCCCCACAAAAUUAAUACUGCAGUAUUUUAAAAACAUACCUUUAGAACAUUCUAAGUCAGAAUUUUGACAGGAUUCUCAGGAUCCUGAGGAUUGUAACGAGGCUGCAGUGGUUGAAAACUAUCCAACAAAAAUUCUAAAAGUAUGGUAUCAGAACUAAGCAUUAGCUAUUCUGAAUUCAAAAUAUAUAAAAAUAGAUGUAAAACAACCAUAUCAUGUUUAAUUUCAUGCAUAUGUUUCAGUCAUGAAAACAACAGAAAUAUAUUUCAGUUGGGCUAUUGUAACUUCUACGGAUUCAACCAAAUGCAAUGCAAAUACCAUGUUUGUAUUAUAAUAACAUAUUCCUAAUAAUGGAAGUAUGCAAAAGUGGCCAACAUACUCCUUGUCCCUGGGGUCUCACAGCCUAGUGAGACAUAAUUUAAAAUUCAUAAAUGAGAGAUAAUGAAAAAAAUUAACCUUUUACUCUAUUUUCUUGUCUAUGAUGGACCCUUACCUCCUCUUCAAACAUGCUACCUAUGUAAGACCAGCAUUUACAUUAGAAAGCUGAAAAACAGAAUGUCUAUCAAUAUGGAGUCACAGAGCUAUCACCUAGUUGUUCCUAGCUCCUGUAGAUCUUCAGUAAAUGAAGCCCUGUUUGACACACAUACUUCUUCAGCUCACAGAAAACCAGGGCCCUUACCAAGCCCUCUUAUGAAGUCUUUGACUUCCUGUGCCAUGUGUUAGCAAGUGUGGGUGUUAACACCAGAUGUAAUAUAUAUCUCCUUGUUUGAAUUUCACACACACAAACUUAUAGCAUAAUUUACAAAAUCUAUUAAUAAACUAUGAAUUAUUGAAAAUUUUAGAGAAAUAUAUAUAACAACAAAGUUUUAUUAUGCCACUUGGCUAAUUCAACAACAGUCAUUUUCAAUGUCCUUCAGUUUAUUUAUUAUCACCCUGUCUCAAUUUUGAUAGCUCCUCUAUUUCUCUCUUCCCUUCUUUUAGUUCCUUAUCAAUUAUUUUACUGAAGAUACUAAGUAUUUGCCAAUACCAUUUCAGUCUGUCUGUUUUGGGUGUGUGUGAUUCUGUGUGUGCAUAUGUAUGUUGUAGUGGUGAUAUUUGUUUGCGGGGUGUAGUAAACAUUUAUUUUUAGAAUUAUUUUGCAGUCACAAGACAACUCAGGUUAAAGUCAGUUUGGGAAUUUGGGUAAGUUAUAUUUUUCUGAAAAUUUAUACAUUUAGUCUUGUAUUGUUAAAAUUUAUUGUCAUAGAUCUGUCCAUAAUGUUUUCUUAUUGAAAUACUUUGAAAUACUUUGAGUUAUAUAUUUAUAAUGUACAUAAAUCUUAAAUAUACAACACAAUGAAUUUUAACUUAUGCACAUAUUCACGUAAUUACCACCCAGAACAAGAUGAAAAACAAAUCCAGUGCCCCAUUGGUUUUCAAUAUGCCACUAUUGGGCUGAUACCCCUAAUAGUAACCACAAUUCAGCUUUCUAUCUUCAUCAUCAACUUUGACUAAUUUUGAGCUUGAUAUAAAUGAAAUCACGUGAUGUGUACUUUUUGUGCCUGGUUUAAUUUGUUCAAUAUUAAGUCUGGGAGAAGUACCCAUGAUGUGUAUAGCCAUAAUUUUAACUUGUAGAUAAUUUAUUAUAGAAAUACCAUAAUUUAUCUAUCCAUUUUACCCUUGAUAGGCAUUUGAGUUGUUUUCAGUGUUUGUAUUUUAAGAAUAAAACUUCUUUGAAUAUUCUUCUCCCCAUAUUUUACUGAAAUAUGAAUUUAUAUUGUGAGUUUUAUUAUUGUUUUAAUGUCCAUGUCAUCAAAGAAUAUCC